CACAAAAUGCCGUCAAAGCGUGUGUCAACAACUUCCUGUUUGGAACGGCAUUUGCUCACCUGGCUGCUGUCCUGACUUUCGCCGCUGCCACCGACGUUGAGCACAUUCACCGGGUGGUCCACUCCCAGUGUUUUCUCCCUGAUGGCCAACGCGUCAUUCAGCAGUAACCGGCCUCACCUGUACACCAGCGCCAGAAUGUUCAACAUGGUGGCCACGUCAGGGUGGGUGUGGCCCGACGACUUCUCCAAGUCUUCCAAGGCCUGCUUACAGAGGGGCACGGCGACCUCAGUAUCGUCCCUGCGAAGCAUAUUGGAUGACGAGGUUGUGGAGCGUCCGAAGGCGAGCGGGAAUCUCGUAGCCACCUUGCUGGGCCGCCGCUGCCGCGCUGCUGUGGUGGUGCUGCGACGUUGACACUGACACACACAACACACACAUAAAUUCAAUUCAUUUACAUUAUUCUGUUUAUUCUGCGUGUGCGCGUUUUACUUUGUGACGACUCCUCGUCCUCGGCAGGAAAAAGGUAAUCCAGGGACUCUUUGUUGGAAGAUGUGCUCUUGUCAUCCUAGAAAUAUUAGAUAUUAGUAAUCAUUGACCUGAUCACCUACCCUAGAGCAACCUGCACUGCAUUUCAGAUAUCCAUUUGCGGAUAAGGUAAAGGAGCGUGU
Molecule: long non-coding RNA, 665 nt
Organism: Phycodurus eques (leafy seadragon)
Lineage: Eukaryota; Metazoa; Chordata; Actinopteri; Syngnathiformes; Syngnathidae
Exons: 3
Source: RefSeq, a predicted model, not a curated record